Molecule: ribosomal RNA, 253 nt
Filed under: uncultured prokaryote
Description: partial 16S ribosomal RNA
Rfam family: Bacterial small subunit ribosomal RNA
Source: RNAcentral
ACGAGCCACACGAACGUUAUUCGGAAUUACUGGGCUUAAAGGGUGCGUAGGCUGCGCGGAAAGUUGGGUGUGAAAUCCCUCGGCUCAACCGAGGAACUGCGCCCAAAACUACCGUGCUCGAGGAAGAUAGAGGUAAGCGGAACUUACGGUGGAGCGGUGAAAUGCGUUGAUAUCGUAAGGAACACCUGUGGCGAAAGCGGCUUACUGGGUCUUUUCUGACGCUGAUGCACGAAAGCUAGGGGAGCAAACGGGA